AAAAUAUAGGAAUGUCGUGGCUCCUGUCUCCCAAAAAGAUUGCCCUGUUUCUUUUAUUGAUUCAAGAUGGCUGGCCACAUUUUCGCCGGACAAUUUUCAACAAUGAGUAAAAGUACAAGCAUGGUUAAGAAACUCGUUAGUCUCCCAUGCAAUUUGGUGUUUUUGGCACGCUGACUGAAGAGACACACUGAUUCCAUUUUAUUUUGUUGUUGUAAUGUAUAGCUAAUACUCUGUUUUUCUUGUACAAACUUCUCUAGGAAGAUUGUCUACGAUAUCCCUACAAGAGAAAAUUAAAUAGAAGUUUUAUUGUACGGAAAGUAGAAUUAUAUAUAAUAAUUAGAAUUUUAUGAGACAAAAACAAAAACACUAAUUUUAAAUUGGUUGUAGAAAAGUAAUUCAUUCUAUAAUUGAUUACAUAUAUUAAAAGCUGUAUAAAAUGUAAUUUCUUAAUUCACAUACCUGAUAUCUCAGUCGUAAGAAAAUCAUCAUCAAAUGUCUUGUUACAUGGACCUGUAGAUCCUUCGGGUGCUUCAUGACAACUGAAGCACCGUUAAGGUUACAUGGACCUUAGUCAUUAAUAAAGAUUACGUCUUGUUUUUGAAAACCAAAAUACUUUUGUAAACAUUCCUUAAAAAGUUCUGUUGAUCUAAUGCAUCCAUGCAACAGUGGAUAAGUGUUAACCUGUAGUUGAGUGCCAUUGAAGGAAGUAACGAAAGAGAGAUAGAAAGAAAUGGAGGAGAGACAGAAAGAAAUGAAAGAGAGAUGGAAAGAAAAAAUAUAUAUUUUGACAAAAAAAUGAAAAACCUAUUAGUACUCCAUGUUUUUUAACACAUUAAUAUUUUUUUAAAGUUUAUAUUCAUGUUAGAAUCCAACAUGACAUUAUGUAGGUGAUUUUACAAUUAAAAUUUAUUAGAUACUAUAGCUUAGAAAUUAUACAAAUAGGAUUCAAUAAAUUUUACGGUGAAAGAGAUCAUAAACAAUAUAAUAGGUAUACCACAAUAUAAUGUUAGAAUAUAAUUAAUGCUUAAAUUUGAAGAUAAAAUUAAGAAUAUAAUAUAAUUAAUGCAUGAAAGUUGUGUUAGGAAAGUAUUGUAACUUAAUUUUGUCCAAAAAAAAUAAAAC
Molecule: long non-coding RNA, 1122 nt
Filed under: Cicer arietinum (chickpea)
Lineage: Eukaryota; Viridiplantae; Streptophyta; Magnoliopsida; Fabales; Fabaceae
Description: long non-coding RNA (CARI_LNC002636)
Source: RNAcentral